CCGAUCGAUAGCUCAUUUGGCAGAGCGGUGGACUGUAGAUCCAUAGGUCGCUGGUUCGACUCCGGCUCGGCGGA
Trichonephila inaurata madagascariensis is the source of this 74-nucleotide non-coding RNA. NCBI's taxonomy places the organism in Eukaryota, Metazoa, Arthropoda, Arachnida, Araneae, Nephilidae. The record is from the annotation of a GenBank genome assembly.